GGGAAAGCACGUUCAAGGACAAUAGGAGAGAAGGAAGAGAAAGAGAGUGGAGUUCAGAAUCAGAACUUUGAAUGUUGGGAAUAUGACUGGUAAAGGGAGACAGCUGGCUGAUAUGACAGAGCGGAGAAAGGUAGAUGCACUGUGCGUACAGGAAACCAAGUGGAAAAGGAGUAAGGCCAGAAGCACCAGAGAUGUGUGCAAACUGUUCUGCCAUAGUGUGGACAGGAAGAGAAAUGGGGUAAGGGUAAUUCUAAAGGAAGAUGUUCGGAGUGUUUUAAGGUGAAGGGAAUGUCUGACAGAGUGAUGAGCAUAAAGUUGAAAGUCAAAGAUGUAAUGUUAAAUGUCAUCAUCGCACAUGCUCCACAAGUGCAAUGUGAGAUGGAGAAGAAAGAAGAUUUCUGGAGUGAGUUAGAUGAAAUGUUGGAGAAUUUACCCAAAGAAUCAAGAGUGGUGAUCGGAGGGGAUCUUAAUGGGCACGUUGGCGAAGGGAAGAGUGGUGAUGAGGAGGUGAUAGGAAGAUAUGGCUUUAAGGAGAGAAAUGUUUAAGGGCAAGUGGUGGUUGACUUUGAAAAAAGGAUAGGAACGGUGGUGGUGAAAACAUAUUUUAAGAAGGAAGAGGAACACGGUGGACAAUGUCCUAUGUAGGAGAUGCAAUGUGAAAGAGAUUAGAGAGUGUAAGGUGGUUGGAGGGGAUAGUGUAGCUAGACAGCAUCAAUUGCUGAUAUGUAGGAUGAAUUUCAAGGUGAAAAAGAGGAAGAGAGUGAGAAUGGAACCAAGGAUCAGAUAGUGGAAGCUGGAAGAGGAAGACUACUGUGUGAAAUUCAGAGAGGAAGUAAGUCAGGUGCUUGGUGGUGAUGAAGACAUUAAAGAUGACUUAAACACCACAGCUGAAGUGGUAAGGGAGAGUGCUAGGAAGCUGCUUCGUGUGACAUUUGGACAGAGGAAGGAAGACAAAGAGACUUGGUGGAGGAAUGAAGAAUUACAGGAAUGCAUAAAGAGGACAAGUUGACAAAAGCAGACAGGUGUACAAAGAGAUGUUGUGCAAAGUGAAGAGAGAGGUGGUGACGGCUAAGGAAAAGCCAUAUGUCGAUCUAUAUGUGAACAUGAACACAAAGGAAGGUGAAAAGCACUUGUACCAAUUGGCCAGACAGAGCGACCAAGCAAGGAAGGACAUGCUGCAGGUCAGAGUGUUAAUAGGUGCAGAUGGAAAUUUGCUGACAAGCAAGGAGAGUGUAUUGAAAAGGUGGAAGGAGUACUUUGAAGGGCUUAUGAAUAUAUAAAAUGAGAGAGAAUGUAGGUUGAAUGAAGUAGAGAUAGCAAAUUACAAAGUACUGGGGAUCAGCAAGGCUGAAGUGAGGGAAGCUAUAAAGAGGAUAAAAAGUGGAAAAGCAGUUGGCCUGGACAAUAUACCAGUGGAAGCAUGGAGAUGUUUAGGUGAUAUGGCAAUAGAGUUUCUAACUAGGCUUUUUAAUAAAAUCUUGAAGGUUGAGUAGAUGCCUGAGGAGUGAUGAAGAAGUAAGUAUUUUAGUAUCAACUUUCAAGAAUAAGGGAGAUGUGCACAGGUGCAGUAACUACUGGAGUAUAAAGCUGAUUAGCCACACCAUGAAGAUAUGGGAAAGAGUGAUGGAUGCUAGGCUGUGAGGAGAAGUGGCAAUCUGUGAGCAGCAAUAUGGUUUCAUACCAGGAAAGAGUACUAUAGAUGCAAUGUUUGCUUUGAAAGUGUUGAUGGAGAAGUACAGAAAAGGUCAGAAGGAAUUACAUUGCUUGUUUGUGGACUUGAAGAAAGCAUAUGACAGGGUGCCAAGAGAGGAGUAAUGGUACUAUAUGAGGAAGUUGGGAGUAGCAGAAAAGUAUGUGAGGGUGGUGCAGGAUAUGUAUAAGAACAGUGUGACUGCGGUGAGGAGUGCGGUAGAAAUGACAGACUGAUUCAAGUUGAGAGUGGGAUUACAUCAAGGAUCGGAUCUGAGCUCUUUAAUGGUUGCAGUGGUGAUGAACAGGUUGACAGAUGUGGUCAGAUAGGAGUCUCCAUAGACUAUGAUGAUCGUGGAUGACACUAUGAUCUGUAGUGAGAGUAGACAGCAGGUUGAGGCAAAUCUGGAGAGGUGGAGCUAUGAACAGGAGAGAAGGGGAAUGAGACUCAGUAGGAGUAAGACAGAGUACAUGUUCAUAACUGAAAGGGAAGGUGCUAGAAGUGUGCGAAUGCAAGAAGCAGAGGCGGUGAAGGUAGACAAAUUUAUAUACUUAUGUUCAACACUGUAAAGCAGUGGAGAGUGUGGCCGAGAGGUGAAAAAGACACUGCAGACAGGGUGGACUGGGUGAAGAAGAGUGGCAGGAGUGAUUUGUGACAGAACAGUAACUGAAAGAGUGAAAGGGAAGGUCUAUAAAAUGUUAGUGAGAAAAGCUAUAUUGUAUGGUUUGGAGAUGGUGGCACUGAUGAAAAGGCAAUAGGUGGAGCUGGAACUGGCAAAGAUAAAGAUGUUGGAGUAAUAAGGGUAGACAGGAUUAGAAAUGAGUAUAUUAGAAAGAUAACUCAGGUAUGACAGCUUGGUGACCAAGUGAGAGGGGCUAGAUUGAAAUGGUUUGGUACAUAGGGAAAAUAAUGUUGAGGAUGGAAACUCCAGGCGAAAGGAAAAGAGGAAGGCCAAGAGGAACUUUAUGGAUGUGGUGAGGGAGGAUAUGAAGGCAGUGAGUGUGGCAGAAAAUUAAGUCAAAGACAGGGAUAAAUGGAGACAGAUGAUCCUCUGUGCCAACCCCUAAAUGGGAGCAACUGAAAGAAGAAGUUUAGUUAAAAAAAUAAGUGAAGUUGAUUAGUAUAAAGUUUAUAUAUUUUUCUUUUUUCUGUUUUAAAUUAAAUAU
Erpetoichthys calabaricus (reedfish) is the source of this 2856-nucleotide long non-coding RNA. RefSeq lists it as uncharacterized. The record is from RefSeq and is a predicted model, not a curated record. The transcript has 3 exons. NCBI's taxonomy places the organism in Eukaryota, Metazoa, Chordata, Cladistia, Polypteriformes, Polypteridae.